CCCCAGGGCCGGGAUCUGUUGAGGACAGGCAGCAGCGAAAAGAGAGGAUGGGGCACCCCACACCACCCCCGCCGGUAAGGAUCAGAUCCGUUGAGCCAAAAGGGCGGACGCCACCUUCCACGGUUCCCAAUCCUUAUUGGGACACCGACCAUGUUAUGGCCUGGAGGCAUUUCCGUUUGCCUACACCAGUCUACGUCAGAGUGGAUCGUUCAGGGGUGUAUCACUCAUAUCCAGAGCUGCCAGGUCGGCCGUUUCAGAGCUUUCAUGCAAUUGCAAGUGCUCUCCAUACCUAUGCUCGUGGCAGUAGCACUGACACGUCCAAGGAAACAAAAAAGGAGCGUCUCAUACGUGAAUCUCUUGAGUGGUCAGAUGGCACGAGGAAGGUCGCCACAAGUUCGAAAAUAGCUGAGAGGGAAACUGAGAAUGUGCAGACUGGUUAAAGCUUUACUGGACAAGAAGCACGACGAUGAGGGUUUCGAGUAUGAACUCAAAGAUAUUGUGCAUUGGCAAUCAAUCUGCGAAGGUCCCAAUGCAUGGUACUAUCAUCUCAAUAUCAGUAUGAAAACUAAAGGAGCUGAUGAUGAUGUGGGCAGUGUCAACCAAUUCUUCGCUGAAGUCACACUUGAUCAGAGCGAUACGCCAGGAUAUUUUCUCAGCAGUUUCUGCAGAAUUGACCCUAACAGCACGGGUAGUGUACACUCUUAUCUUAAAUUAAGCAUUUUUUGGAAUACUGAUUGAAAUUAGCUGUUAGAUAUAGGUCAGAACAUUGCGGCAGGAUAUUUUCUCAACAAUUUCUGCGGGGUUUAACCCUGACGGCAAGGGUAGUAUACACUCUUAUCUUAAUUAAGCAGUUUUGGAAUACUGUUUGAAAUUAGCUGAUAGAUAUAAUUGUGAAUGCGUUUCUGGUUUAUUGUGGAGCUGUUACUAUUGACUGUUUGCCCAUUGUGCCAUCUUCCACCAUACAUAACUUUAUUUUUGUAAUAUCGCAAUCGAACUGGUUCACGCACAGCCAGUUGUAUGUGCUGCAAUCAAGCAUUUUUUUGCCACUUAUUCAGCUAUUCUCGUGUAUCUGAGCCAGGCUGGUUAUCUUGCACUUAAAUGAUAAAUCUCACUCAUGUCUUCCUUUAGAUGUUCA
Aegilops tauschii subsp. strangulata is the source of this 1135-nucleotide long non-coding RNA. RefSeq lists it as uncharacterized. Lineage: Eukaryota; Viridiplantae; Streptophyta; Magnoliopsida; Poales; Poaceae. The record is from RefSeq and is a predicted model, not a curated record.